Molecule: long non-coding RNA, 263 nt
Organism: Emys orbicularis (European pond turtle)
Lineage: Eukaryota; Metazoa; Chordata; Testudines; Emydidae
Exons: 3
Source: RefSeq, a predicted model, not a curated record
CCUCCUCACAGCAUGGGGGCAGGAAUUAAAGGCUCUCUUUCUAUUUUCAGGUGAAAUGAAGGUCUUCCAAAUAAAGGGAGGAUGAUAAGAGGCUGCUGAAUUUACGAAAAAAAGUCAGCCAGGUUUUUCUAAUAUGAGAUAUGAACAGACCAGGUGGCCAUUCCUACCAGGGAGAAGUGAGGGGAGAAGAACUGUGGUGGACCUUACUUGUCAUGGGGAGAGUAUGAAAAGCAGAUGCAAGACAAAGCAACAUGGACUUGCCA